GUCUAGAGCUAGUAAGAGCUUUGAACUGAAGUAUGAGACAUUUUGCAUAUUCCUCCUGCAAAUAAUUAAUUAUAAAUAUAUCUCCUCAUUUUCUACUGUGACAUUUGGGAUCUGAGAAAUCUUUGACCACUUAGGGCCAUAUCCCUUCGCACAACUUUUCUCAAGAAGGGAAACUUUAUAUAAAAUACAGAGAUGUUAAAUUUGAGAGGUGUUGCAUGACUGUAGCUGUAGCUAGAUACUUGAUAUUCUCAUUAAACAACUACUCUUUU
Molecule: unclassified non-coding RNA, 269 nt
Filed under: Hevea brasiliensis (rubber tree)
Lineage: Eukaryota; Viridiplantae; Streptophyta; Magnoliopsida; Malpighiales; Euphorbiaceae
Source: RNAcentral